AAAAACUUAGUUAAAAUAUAACCUCAGCUUGUCAAGUUGAAAUAACUUAUUAAAGUAGUUUUUA
This 64-nucleotide transfer RNA is filed under the name Glyptelasma annandalei. RNAcentral describes it as "tRNA-Asp". The record is from RNAcentral. Lineage: Eukaryota; Metazoa; Arthropoda; Thecostraca; Poecilasmatidae.